RNAcentral lists this ribosomal RNA (253 nucleotides) under uncultured bacterium. Its description in RNAcentral is "partial 16S ribosomal RNA". It matches the Rfam family "Bacterial small subunit ribosomal RNA", at positions 524 to 776 of the family's 1533-position model. The record is from RNAcentral.
UACGUAGGGGGCAAGCGUUGGCCGGAUUUAUUGGGCGUAAAGAGCGUGUAGGCGGCCAGACAGGUCCGUUGUGAAAACUCGAGGCUCAACCUCGAGAUGUCGAUGGAAACCGUCUGGCUAGAGUCCGGAAGAGGAGUGUGGAAUUCCUGGUGUAGCGGUGAAAUGCGCAGAUAUCGGGAAGAACACCUAUGGCGAAGGCAGCUCGCUGGGACGUUACUGACGCUGAGACGCGAAAGCGUGGGGAGCAAACAGG